CCACGUGCUUCUCUUUCCGCAG
RNAcentral lists this microRNA (22 nucleotides) under Homo sapiens (human). RNAcentral describes it as "hsa-miR-6767-3p". The record is from miRBase by way of RNAcentral. Lineage: Eukaryota; Metazoa; Chordata; Mammalia; Primates; Hominidae.